GACGAACGCUGGCGGCGUGCUUAACACAUGCGAGUCGAACGGAAAGGCCCUGCUUUUGUGGGGUGCUCGAGUGGCGAACGGGUGAGUAACACGUGAGUAACCUGCCCUUGACUUUGGGAUAACUUCAGGAAACUGGGGCUAAUACCGGAUAGGAGCUCCUGCUGCAUGGUGGGGGUUGGAAAGUUUCGGCGGUUGGGGAUGGACUCGCGGCUUAUCAGCUUGUUGGUGGGGUAGUGGCUUACCAAGGCUUUGACGAGUAGCCGGCCUGAGAGGGUGACCGGGCACAUUGGGACUGGGAUACGGCCCAGACUCCUACGGGAGGCAGCAGUGGGGAAGAUUGCACAAGGGGCGGAAGCCUGAUGCAGCAACGCCGCGGGCGGGAGGACGGUCUUCGGGUUGGAAUCCGAUUUCGCCUGUGACGAAGCGGGAGUGACGGUAAUGGGUAAAGAAGCACCGGCUAACUACGGUC
This 469-nucleotide ribosomal RNA is filed under the name uncultured bacterium. Its description in RNAcentral is "partial 16S ribosomal RNA". It matches the Rfam family "Bacterial small subunit ribosomal RNA", at positions 28 to 508 of the family's 1533-position model. The record is from RNAcentral.